RNAcentral lists this non-coding RNA (240 nucleotides) under Rummeliibacillus stabekisii. Its description in RNAcentral is "T-box sequence". It matches the Rfam family "T-box leader". From Rfam's summary of the family: Uncharged tRNA acts as the effector for transcription antitermination of genes in the T-box leader family. T-boxes are found upstream of many aminoacyl-tRNA synthetase genes and some amino acid biosynthetic genes usually in Gram-positive bacteria. Lineage: Bacteria; Bacillati; Bacillota; Bacilli; Caryophanales; Caryophanaceae. The record is from RNAcentral.
UGAUCGCCAAAGACCAAGAAAGUAACAAUCAGCAAGUACUUUUUAGAGAGGAAAAAGCCGUGGCUGCAAGCUUUUCCAUUGUACUGAUUUGUGAAUAACACUUGAGAGGCUUUUCUUCGAACGGACAUGGUUCUAGUAGGGGGAAACGGUAUCGGCCGUUAUCCGAUUUGAGAGGAUUUAGUCAUUAUACUAGAUCAACUAGGGUGGAACCGCGGAAGCUAUAGAGCUCUCGUCCCUUGC